AUUGAACGCUGGCGGCAUGCCUAACACAUGCAAGUCGAACGAGUGGCGGACGGGUGAGUAAUGUCUGGGAAACUGCCUGAUGGAGGGGGAUAACUACUGGAAACGGUAGCUAAUACCGCAUACCAUCGGAUGUGCCCAGAUGGGAUUAGCUAGUAGGUAAGGUAACGGCUUACCUAGGCGACGAUCCCUAGCUGGUCUGAGAGGAUGACCAGCCACACUGGAACUGAGACACGGUCCAGACUCCUACGGGAGGCAGCAGUGGGGAAUCUUGCGCAAUGGGCGCAAGCCUGAUGAAGCCAUGCCGCGUGAAUGAAGAAGGCCUUCGGGUUGUAAAGUACUUUCAGUGGGGAGGCGGUACCUGCAGAAGAAGCACCGGCUAACUCCGUGCCAGCAGCCGCGGUAAUAC
Molecule: ribosomal RNA, 406 nt
Filed under: uncultured bacterium
Lineage: Bacteria
Description: partial 16S ribosomal RNA
Rfam family: Bacterial small subunit ribosomal RNA
Source: RNAcentral